This 87-nucleotide ribosomal RNA is filed under the name Dyadobacter koreensis. The record is from RNAcentral. Lineage: Bacteria; Pseudomonadati; Bacteroidota; Cytophagia; Cytophagales; Spirosomataceae.
ACCUCUUCCCAUCCCGAACAGAGAAGUUAAGCCCGGAACCGCCGAUGAUACUUGGGUCAAACCUGGUAAAGUAGGUAGCCGCCACAA